RNAcentral lists this ribosomal RNA (876 nucleotides) under uncultured archaeon. RNAcentral's name for it is "bacterial SSU rRNA". It matches the Rfam family "Archaeal small subunit ribosomal RNA", at positions 21 to 903 of the family's 1478-position model. The record is from RNAcentral.
CCUGACUGCUAUCGGAUUGAUACUAAGCCAUGCGAGUCUUUGUAGUAAUACAAGGCAGACGGCUCAGUAACGCGUAGUCAACCUACCCUAUGGACGGGAAUAAUCUCGGGAAACUGAGCAUAAUACCCGGCGUACCACCAUUCCUGGAAUGGUUGGUGGUUAAAAUGAUUCGUCGCCGUAGGAUGGGACUGCGACUUAUCAGCUUGUUGGUGAGGUAAAGGCCCACCAAGGCGAUUACAGGUACGGGCUCUGAGAGGAGAAGCCCGGAGAUGGGUACUGAGACACGGACCCAGGCCCUAUGGGGCGCAGCAGGCGAGAAAACUUUGCAAUGUGCGAAAGCACGACAAGGUUAAUCCGAGUGAUUUCUGCUAAAGGAAUCUUUUGCCAGUUCUAAAAAUACUAGUGAAUAAGGGGUGGGCAAGUUCUGGUGUCAGCCGCCGCGGUAAAACCAGCACCUCAAGUGGUCAGGAGGAUUAUUGGGCCUAAAGCAUCCGUAGCCUGCUCUGUAAGUUUUCGGUUAAAUCUAUAUGCUCAACGUAUAGGCUGCCGAAAAUACUGCAGUGCUAGGAAGUGGGAGAGGUAGACGGUACUUGAUAGGAAGGGGUAAAAUCCUUUGAUCUAUCGAUGACCACCUGUGGCGAAGGCGGUCUACCAGAACACGUUCGACGGUGAGGGAUGAAAGCUGGGGGAGCAAACCGGAUUAGAUACCCGGGUAGUCCCAGCUGUAAACGAUGCAGACUAGAUGAUGCAUUGGCAUAUAGCCAGUGCAGUGUCUCAGGGAAGCCGUUAAGUCUGCCGCCUGGGAAGUACGUACGCAAGUAUGAAACUUAAAGGAAUUGGCGGGGGAGCACCACNAAGGGGUGAAGCCUGCGGUUC